CGAUCACAUAACGUUGAAACACGGGUUCCCGUACGAUCACCGAAGUUAAGCAACAUCGAGUCGGGAGAGUAACCAGAUGGAAGACCACUUGAGAAUACCAGGUGUUA
Molecule: non-coding RNA, 107 nt
Organism: Acanthosepion pharaonis
Lineage: Eukaryota; Metazoa; Mollusca; Cephalopoda; Sepiida; Sepiidae
Source: the annotation of a GenBank genome assembly